Molecule: unclassified non-coding RNA, 358 nt
Filed under: fungal sp.
Lineage: Eukaryota; Fungi
Description: partial internal transcribed spacer region
Rfam family: Eukaryotic small subunit ribosomal RNA (bases 1-46)
Source: RNAcentral
AAGUCGUAACAAGGUUUCCGUAGGUGAACCUGCGGAAGGAUCAUUAAUAAAUAAAUCUCAAUGGGCUUUUGCUCUCUUGCACAAAGCCCAUUAACCCCCCACCUCUGUGAACUGUCUACUGUAAUUCCUCCUCAUCUGGAGAGUGUCCGGUCGGAAAGGGUUUUGGCUCUGGCCUCUGCUCGGACCCCCGCGGCACUCUUUAACGUGGAGGGUAAAUAUUUUUCACUCUGCACUGGCGCUGGGCCCGAGGCUCUGGCACAGGCGCUUUUUUCCGCGUCAUUUUCUUGAACUCUCUUUUUAAGUAAAGAGGGAAUAAUAACCAAGUAACAACUUUCAACAACGGAUCUCUUGGCUCCCA